CUCUGCACAUUCACGAUUCCUGUGGUAUCUUUAUUUUUAAAGAUCUAAUAGAUCCAGUGAUAACCUUGUGCCUUUGAUCUCAAAUGUAAAAACGCAGCUUUGCUAAUAGAGUUGGAAGGAGAGAGGUUGGGAGAGAGGGAGGGAAACUGGUCCACGUUGAAGAUUUAAGCAUGAGUAAGAAUAUUUGACACAAAAACACAAGCAGAACUAAAUGAAGGAACUGUAAUGGAACGCUUCAGAAUUGCGAGGAAGAGACAUACAUCUCUUCGCCUCAAGGGCCUUGGGGCACACAACUGUUGGGAUUAAAUGAAUGCCUAUCGCAGAAUCUAUGCCGUUGCGUUCCGAAAUGGAGGACCAUACCAAAAUAUUGCACUUGUAUCCACAGCACACAAUACAUAGCAAAAAAGGAUAUUUUAAAAAAAGAUAUUGUUCAGGAUUGAAUUGAUUUGAAAAAUUUGGAAGCAGUACAGUCAGUUCCUGUGAUGUAUUUUGGUUACUUCAUGUGAAAACAUUAGUUUAGAUCCCAUCAUAUUUUGGAAAGCCUGACCUAAUCAACAACAACACCAACUUGCAUUUAUAUAGGGGCCUACACACGGACAUUCAAGCAUGAAGUUCACCAAAUUUGAUGAUUUUCUGUCAAAUCUAAGCCGUUCAGAGUCUCUAUUGUGCCAAACCUUUUUGUACAACCAGUCAAUGGAGAUCAGACUCUAAAAAUAAAAUGUUUUACAUUUC
Callorhinchus milii (elephant shark) is the source of this 732-nucleotide long non-coding RNA. RefSeq lists it as uncharacterized. The transcript is spliced from 3 exons. The record is from RefSeq and is a predicted model, not a curated record. NCBI's taxonomy places the organism in Eukaryota, Metazoa, Chordata, Chondrichthyes, Chimaeriformes, Callorhinchidae.